AGUGAACGCUGGCGGUAGGCCUAACACAUGCAAGUCGAACGGCAGCACAGUAAGAGCUUGCUCUUACGGGUGGCGAGUGGUGGACGGGUGACGAAUACAUCGGAAUCUACCUUUUCGUGGGUGAUAACGUAGGGUAACUUAUGCUAACACCGCAUACCACUUACGGGUGAAAGCACGGGAUCUUCGGACCUUUCGCGAUCGAAAGAGCCGAUGUCGGCUUCGCUAGGUGGCGGGGUAAAGGCCCACCCUGGCGACGAUCCGUAGCUGGUCCGAGGGAAUGAUCAUCCACACUGGAACUGAGACACGGUCCAGACUCCUACGAGAGGCAGCAGUGGGGAAUAUUAGACAAAGGGCGCAAGCCUGAUCCAGCCAUAGCGCGUGAGUGAAGAAGGCCUUCGGGUUGGAAAGCCCUUUUGUUCGGAAAGAAAAGCAGCUGGUUAAUACCGCGCUGUUCUGACGGUACCCAAAGAAUAAGCACCGGCUAACUUCGUG
This 492-nucleotide ribosomal RNA is filed under the name uncultured bacterium. Its description in RNAcentral is "partial 16S ribosomal RNA". It matches the Rfam family "Bacterial small subunit ribosomal RNA", at positions 29 to 507 of the family's 1533-position model. The record is from RNAcentral.